Oryza sativa Japonica Group (Japanese rice) is the source of this 203-nucleotide microRNA precursor. It matches the Rfam family "MIR812 microRNA precursor family". NCBI's taxonomy places the organism in Eukaryota, Viridiplantae, Streptophyta, Magnoliopsida, Poales, Poaceae. The record is from Rfam.
AAUAAGUGUAGUUUUGCACUGUUUUAUAUCCAUCGUUUGACUGUUCAUUUUAUUUGAAAUUUUUUUAUGAUUAGUAUUUUAUUUUAGAGGAAAAAUAUGAAAAGUACUUUAUGCGUGACUAAUUGUUUUUAAUUUUUUUUAUAAAUUUUUAAAUAAGACGGACGGUCAAACGUUAGACACAGAUAUUUACGGCUGUAUUUAUU